UUUCAGGAAACUUGGAGAUUCAUUGAGAGAAGACCCAAACCUUCGUUGCAACAGAACAGAACUUUGUCUUGAUAAAGUUCGAUCUGGAAACUAUGUUUACAUUCACGGAAAACCGGUCAUCCAGAACAUUAUCGCCAUGGAUCGAGAGCAGACAGGAUUGUGCCACUUUACUAUGGCUUCAGAAACCUUUUGGCCGGGCCAUCUUCAUUUCUUCUUGCCAAAAAAUAGCUCUUAUACAGAAACUAUUAAUCGAGGCAUAUUAAGGAUGCAGGAAACUGGUCUAUUGG
This is a long non-coding RNA of Daphnia pulex (common water flea), 287 nucleotides long. RefSeq lists it as uncharacterized. The record is from RefSeq and is a predicted model, not a curated record. The transcript is spliced from 3 exons. NCBI's taxonomy places the organism in Eukaryota, Metazoa, Arthropoda, Branchiopoda, Diplostraca, Daphniidae.